Molecule: ribosomal RNA, 513 nt
Filed under: uncultured delta proteobacterium
Lineage: Bacteria; Deltaproteobacteria
Description: bacterial SSU rRNA
Rfam family: Bacterial small subunit ribosomal RNA
Source: RNAcentral
AACGAACGCUGGCGGCGUGCCUAACACAUGCAAGUCGAGCGCGAAAGGAGCAAUCCGAGUUAGAGCGGCGCACGGGUGCGUAACACGUGGAUAAUCUGCCUCAGGGUUGAGGAUAACCUUCCGAAAGGUUGGCUAAUACUCGGUAAGCUUACGGUGACUUUGGUCGCUGUGAGAAAACUAGACCUCUAUUUAUAAGUUUAGGCCCAGAGAUGAGUCCGCGGCCCAUCAGCUAGUUGGCGGGGUAACGGCCCACCAAGGCAACGACGGGUAGCUGGUCUGAGAGGACGAUCAGCCACACUGGAACUGAGACACGGUCCAGACUCCUACGGGAGCAGCAGUGGGGAAUUUUCCACAAUGGGCGAAAGCCUGAUGGAGCAACGCCGCGUGUGUGAUGAAGGUCUUCGGAUCGUAAAGCACUUUCGACCGGGACGAAAAACCUUUGGCUAACAUCCAGGGGCCUGACGGUACCGGGAGAAGAAGCACCGGCUAACUCUGUGCCAGCAGCCGCGGUAA